CCACCUCGUUUAUCGAUUUCUGCCUCUUGUUAACCGCUACCUGUCUUGCAGAAGGACCAGACACGGGGGUAGAUACCGGGCCAGAGAAAGCAAGUGCAUUUCUAGCUUCUCUGAAAUCUGUAUCUGGAAAUGCAAUCUUCAACAAGUCAAAAAACAAAUCAUGUACUUUCCUCGCUUCAGAUCUGACCUGUGA
This is a long non-coding RNA of Hibiscus syriacus, 193 nucleotides long. RefSeq lists it as uncharacterized. The record is from RefSeq and is a predicted model, not a curated record. The transcript has 2 exons. Lineage: Eukaryota; Viridiplantae; Streptophyta; Magnoliopsida; Malvales; Malvaceae.